This 372-nucleotide ribosomal RNA is filed under the name uncultured bacterium. RNAcentral's name for it is "bacterial SSU rRNA". It matches the Rfam family "Bacterial small subunit ribosomal RNA", at positions 524 to 898 of the family's 1533-position model. The record is from RNAcentral.
UACGGAGGAUGCGAGCGUUAUCCGGAUUUAUUGGGUUUAAAGGGUACGUAGGUGGCCUGAUAAGUCAGUGGUGUAAACCUGUCGCUCAACGAUAGGCGUGCCAUUGAUACUGUUGGGCUUGAGUACAGAUGAGGUAGGCGGAAUGUGUAGUGUAGCGGUGAAAUGCAUAGAUAUUACACAGAACUCCGAUUGCGAAGGCAGCUUACUAAACUGACACUGACGCUGAGGUACGAAAGCGUGGGGAUCGAACAGGAUUAGAUACCCUGGUAGUCCACGCCGUAAACGAUGCUCACUGGCUGUAUGCGAUACACCGUAUGCGGCUAAGCGAAAGCGCUAAGUGAGCCACCUGGGGAGUACGCCGGCAACGGUGAA